GUUGUUCGGAUUUAUUGGGCGUAAAGCGCGUGUAGGCGGUUUCUUAAGUCUGAUGUGAAAGCCCUGGGCUCAACCCAGGAAGUGCAUUGGAUACUGGGAGACUUGAAUACGGGAGAGGGUAGUGGAAUUCCUAGUGUAGGAGUGAAAUCCGUAGAUAUUAGGAGGAACACCGGUGGCGAAGGCGGCUACCUGGACCGAUAUUGACGCUGAGACGCGAAAGCGUGGGGAGCAAACAGGAUUAGAUACCCUGGUAGUCCACGCCGUAAACGAUGAGAACUAGGUGUUGCGGGUAUUGACCCCUGCAGUGCC
RNAcentral lists this ribosomal RNA (309 nucleotides) under uncultured delta proteobacterium. RNAcentral describes it as "bacterial SSU rRNA". It matches the Rfam family "Bacterial small subunit ribosomal RNA", at positions 540 to 847 of the family's 1533-position model. The record is from RNAcentral. Lineage: Bacteria; Deltaproteobacteria.